GCUUAACCAUAGAACUGCUUGGGAAACUGAUAAUCUAGAGUGAGGGAGAGGCAGAUGGAAUUGGUGGUGUAGGGGUAAAAUCCGUAGAGAUCACCAGGAAUACCCAUUGCGAAGGCGAUCUGCUGGAACUCAACUGACGCUAAUGCGUGAAAGCGUGGGGAGCAAACAGGAUUAGAUACCCUGGUAGUCCACGCCCUAAACGAUGUAUACUAGUUGUUGCUAAGCUAGUCUUGGCAGUAAUGCACCUAACGGAUUAAGUAUACCGCCUGGGGAGUACGGUCGCAAGAUUAAAACUCAAAGGAAUAGACGGGGACCCGCACAAGCGGUGGAGCAUGUGGUUUAAUUCGAGGAUACGCGAAGAACCUUACCCGGACUUGAUAUCUAACAAAUCAUCUAGAGAUAGAAGAGUGUCUGCUUGCAGAAAUGUUAAGACAGGUGCUGCACGGCUGUCGUCAGCUCGUGUCGUGAGAUGUUGGGUUAAGUCCCGCAACGAGCGCAACCCACGUCAUUAGUU
RNAcentral lists this ribosomal RNA (514 nucleotides) under uncultured Campylobacter sp. RNAcentral's name for it is "bacterial SSU rRNA". It matches the Rfam family "Bacterial small subunit ribosomal RNA", at positions 607 to 1116 of the family's 1533-position model. Lineage: Bacteria; Pseudomonadati; Campylobacterota; Epsilonproteobacteria; Campylobacterales; Campylobacteraceae. The record is from RNAcentral.